AAAUCAACCGAGAUUCCCCCAGUAGCGGCGAGCGAACGGGGAGCAGCCCAGAGUCUGAAUCAGCUUGUGUGUUAGUGGAACGGUCUGGAAAGUCCGACGGUACAGGGUGAUAGUCCCGUACACCAAAAUGCACAGGUUGUGAACUCGAAGAGUAGGGCGGGACACGUGGUAUCCUGUCUGAAUAUGGGGGGACCAUCCUCCAAGGCUAAAUACUCCUGACUGACCGAUAGUGAACCAGUACCGUGAGGGAAAGGCGAAAAGAACCCCGGCGAG
This 273-nucleotide ribosomal RNA is filed under the name Klebsiella pneumoniae. RNAcentral describes it as "partial 23S ribosomal RNA". It matches the Rfam family "Bacterial large subunit ribosomal RNA", at positions 222 to 533 of the family's 2925-position model. The record is from RNAcentral. Lineage: Bacteria; Pseudomonadati; Pseudomonadota; Gammaproteobacteria; Enterobacterales; Enterobacteriaceae.